AGAAAAGGUGAUUAAAAGGGAAUCGGGUGCAAAUCCCGAACAGUCCCGCUGCUGUGAGUUUCACAUAAUCGUUAUCAGCACGUACCAUUUGCCACUGGAAUCUUUUCCGGGAAGGCCGCUGAUAAUAGAAACAAGUCAGAAGACCUGCCAUGCGUAUC
This 158-nucleotide non-coding RNA is filed under the name Bacteroides togonis. The record is from RNAcentral. Lineage: Bacteria; Pseudomonadati; Bacteroidota; Bacteroidia; Bacteroidales; Bacteroidaceae.